CACCGGCGGCCCGAGUGGUGGCCACUAUUAUUGGGUCUAAAGGGUCCGUAGCCGGUUUGAUCAGUCUUCCGGGAAAUCUGACAGCUCAACUGUUAGGCUUCCGGGGGAUACUGUCAGACUUGGGACCGGGAGAGGUAAGAGGUACUACAGGGGUAGGAGUGAAAUCUUGUAAUCCUUGUGGGACCACCAGUGGCGAAGGCGUCUUACCAGAACGGGUCCGACGGUGAGGGACGAAAGCUGGGGGCACGAACCGGAUUAGAUACCCGGGUAGUCCCAGCCGUAAACGAUGCUCGCUAGGUGUCUGGGAUGGUGCGACCGUUUCAGGUGCCGCAGGGAAGCCGUGAAGCGAGCCACCUGGGAAGUACGGCCGCAAGGCUGAAACUUAAAGGAACUGGCGGGGAGCACUACAACGGGUGGAGCCUGCGGUUU
This 429-nucleotide ribosomal RNA is filed under the name uncultured archaeon. RNAcentral describes it as "bacterial SSU rRNA". It matches the Rfam family "Archaeal small subunit ribosomal RNA", at positions 474 to 903 of the family's 1478-position model. The record is from RNAcentral.